CGCUCAUAUCAAAAUAUUUAUAAAGCCAAACAAGUACAAAGUUGAAGAGCAAUGAGGAUCCAAAAUUCCUAAAAGUUGUGCCAAAUACGGCUAAGGUAAUCUUUGCCUGGGAUAAGAAAAUCCUUAGUUUUUCGAAAAAUUACAAAGUUUUGUAAACAGGAAAUUUAUAAAAAUGACCACAUUAUUGAUAUUCAUGUCAACACCGA
Molecule: long non-coding RNA, 206 nt
Filed under: Mytilus galloprovincialis (Mediterranean mussel)
Lineage: Eukaryota; Metazoa; Mollusca; Bivalvia; Mytilida; Mytilidae
Source: RNAcentral